UACGGAGGGUGCGAGCGUUAAUCGGAAUGACUGGGCGUAAAGCGCAUGCAGGCGGUCAAUUAAGUUAGAUGUGAAAUCCCUGAGCUUAACUUUGGAAUUGCAUUUUAAACUGUUUGUCUAGAGUCUUGUAGAGGAGGGUAGAAUUCCAUGUGUAGCGGUGAAAUGCGUAGAGAUGUGGAGGAAUACCGGUGGCGAAGGCGGCCCUCUGGACAAAGACUGACGCUCAGGUGCGAAAGCGUGGGGAGCAAACAUG
Molecule: ribosomal RNA, 253 nt
Filed under: uncultured bacterium
Lineage: Bacteria
Description: partial 16S ribosomal RNA
Rfam family: Bacterial small subunit ribosomal RNA
Source: RNAcentral